RNAcentral lists this ribosomal RNA (253 nucleotides) under uncultured bacterium. Its description in RNAcentral is "partial 16S ribosomal RNA". It matches the Rfam family "Bacterial small subunit ribosomal RNA", at positions 524 to 776 of the family's 1533-position model. The record is from RNAcentral.
UACGUAGGGGGCAAGCGUUGUCCGGAUUUAUUGGGCGUAAAGAGCUUGUAGGCGGUUUGUCGCGUCUGCCGUGAAAAUUCGAGGCUCAACCUCGAACUUGCGGUGGGUACGGGCAGACUAGAGUGUGGUAGGGGAGACUGGAAUUCCUGGUGUAGCGGUGAAAUGCGCAGAUAUCAGGAGGAACACCAGCGGCGAAGGCGGGUCUCUGGGCCGAUACUGACGCUGAGGAGCGAAAGCGUGGGGAGCAAACAGG